Molecule: long non-coding RNA, 943 nt
Filed under: Brassica napus (rape)
Lineage: Eukaryota; Viridiplantae; Streptophyta; Magnoliopsida; Brassicales; Brassicaceae
Description: long non-coding RNA (BNAP_LNC025133)
Source: RNAcentral
GUUUUCCUAAUUUCUAAAUCACAAACCCAAAUCUAAAUUAUUUCUCAAAAAAUUGAAAACUUUCCAAAAAUAGCAAUUUUAAGAAAAUUAUUUAUAAAUACUAUAUACAGUUGAAAAAUUCUGAAAGAAUACUCAUCUAUCCACAAAUAUUCUUGUUAUCCUAAUUUCUAAAUCACAAACCCAAAUCUACAGUAUUUCUCAAAAAAAUGAAAACUUUCCAAAAAUAGCAGUUUUUAAGAAAAUUAUUUAAAAAUACUAUAUAUUGAUGAAAAAUUCUGAAAGAAUACUCAUCUAUCCACAAAUAUUUUUGUUAUCCUAAUUUCUAAAUCACAAACCCAAAUCUACAGUAUUUCUCAAAAAAAUGAAAACUUUCCAAAAAUAGCAGUUUUUAAGAAAAUUAUUUAAAAAUACUAUAUACAGAUGAAAAAUUCUGAAACAAUACUCAUCUAUCCUAAAAUAUUCUUGUUAUCCUAAUUUCUAAAUCACAAACCCAAAUCUACAGUAUUUCUCAAAAAAUUGAAAACUUUCCAAAAAUAGCAGUUUUUAAGAAAAUUAUUUAUAAAUACUAUAUACUGAUGAAAAAUUCUGAAACAAUACUCAUCUAUCCUAAAAUAUUCUUGUUAUCCUAAUUUCUAAAUCACAAACCCACAUCUACAGUAUUUCUAAAAAAAUUGAAAACUUUCCAAAAAUAGCAGUCUUUAAGAAAAUUAUUUAAAAAUAAUAUAUAUAGAUGAAAAAUUCUGAAAGAAUACUCAUCUAUCCACAAAUAUUCUUGUUAUCCUAAUUUCUAAAUCACAAACCCAAAUCUACAAUAUUUUUCAAAAAAUUGAAAACUUUCCAAAAAUAGCAGUUUUUAAGAAAAUUAUUUAUAAAUACUAUAUACAAAUGAAAAAUUCUGAAAGAAUACUCAUCUACCUUAAAAUAUUCUUGUUAUCUUAAUUUC